AUUGAACGCUGGCGGCGGGCCUAACACAUGCAAGUCGAGCGAGCGGCGGACGGGUGAGUAAUGUCUGGGACCCUGCCUUAUGGCUGGGGAUACCUACUGGAAACGGUAGCUAAUACCGCAUACCAUCAGAUGUGCCCAGCUGGGAUUAGCUAGUAGGUGGGGUAACGGCUCACCUAGGCGACGAUCCCUAGCUGGUCUGAGAGGAUGACCAGCCACACUGGAACUGAGACACGGUCCAGACUCCUACGGGAGGCAGCAGUGGGGAAUAUUGCACAAUGGGCGCAAGCCUGAUGCAGCCAUGCCGCGUGUAUGAAGAAGGCCUUCGGGUUGUAAAGUACUUGCAGCGGGGAGGCGUUACCCGCAGAAGAAGCACCGGCUAACUCCGUGCCAGCAGCCGCGGUAAUUC
RNAcentral lists this ribosomal RNA (406 nucleotides) under uncultured bacterium. Its description in RNAcentral is "partial 16S ribosomal RNA". It matches the Rfam family "Bacterial small subunit ribosomal RNA", at positions 30 to 526 of the family's 1533-position model. The record is from RNAcentral.